This 467-nucleotide ribosomal RNA is filed under the name uncultured bacterium. RNAcentral's name for it is "bacterial SSU rRNA". It matches the Rfam family "Bacterial small subunit ribosomal RNA", at positions 355 to 825 of the family's 1533-position model. The record is from RNAcentral.
UGGGGAAUAUUGGACAAUGGGUGAGAGCCUGAUCCAGCCAUGCCGCGUGCAGGAAGAAGGCGUUAUGCGUUGUAAACUGCUUUUUGCCAGGGGAUAAAAUGACCGUGCGCGGUUAAUUGAAGGUACCUGGUGAAUAAGCCACGGCUAACUACGUGCCAGCAGCCGCGGUAAUACGUAGGUGGCAAGCGUUGUUCGGAUUUACUGGGCGUAAAGGGCGCGUAGGCGGCAAUUCAAGUCAUCUGUGAAAUCUCCGGGCUUAACUCGGAACGGUCAGAUGAUACUGCUUUGCUAGAGUGCAGAAGGGGCAAUCGGAAUUCUUGGUGUAGCGGUGAAAUGCGUAGAUAUCAAGAGGAACACCUGAGGUGAAGACGGGUUGCUGGGCUGACACUGACGCUGAGGCGCGAAAGCUAGGGUAGCAAACGGGAUUAGAUACCCAGGUAGUCCCUGAGCGGGCUGGCAAGGCGCAU